ACCUGCCCUAUGAUAAUUAUUAAAUGGCCGCGAUAUUUUGAUCGUGCAAAGGUAGCAUAAUCAUUAGUUUUUUAAUUAAGAACUGGAAUGAAAGGUUGAACGAGAAAAAAACUGUCUCAAUUUAAUUUAAUUAGAAUUUUAUUUUUAAGUAAAAAAGCUUAAAUAUUUUUAAAAGACGAGAAGACCCUAUAGAGUUUUAUAUUUAAUUAAGUUUUAAAAAAAUUUUAGUAUUUAAUUUUUUAUAAAUUAUUAAAUAUUUAGUUGGGGUGACUUAAAAAUUAAAUAAACUUUUUUUUAUAGUUAAACAUUGAUAUAUGAGAAAUUGAUCCAUAAUUUAUGAUUAUAAGAUUA
RNAcentral lists this ribosomal RNA (351 nucleotides) under Helictopleurus neoamplicollis. Its description in RNAcentral is "partial 16S ribosomal RNA". The record is from RNAcentral. Lineage: Eukaryota; Metazoa; Arthropoda; Insecta; Coleoptera; Scarabaeidae.